RNAcentral lists this ribosomal RNA (435 nucleotides) under uncultured Roseburia sp. RNAcentral's name for it is "partial 16S ribosomal RNA". It matches the Rfam family "Bacterial small subunit ribosomal RNA", at positions 341 to 792 of the family's 1533-position model. The record is from RNAcentral. Lineage: Bacteria; Bacillati; Bacillota; Clostridia; Lachnospirales; Lachnospiraceae.
ACGGGAGGCAGCAGUGGGGAAUAUUGCACAAUGGGCGAAAGCCUGAUGUAGCGACGCCGCGUGAGCGAAGAAGUAUUUCGGUAUGUAAAGCUCUAUCAGCAGGGAAGAAAAAUGACGGUACCUGACUAAGAAGCACCGGCUAAAUACGUGCCAGCAGCCGCGGUAAUACGUAUGGUGCAAGCGUUAUCCGGAUUUACUGGGUGUAAAGGGAGCGCAGGCGGUACGGCAAGUCUGAUGUGAAAGCCCGGGGCUCAACCCCGGUACUGCAUUGGAAACUGUCGAACUAGAGUGUCGGAGGGGUAAGUGGAAUUCCUAGUGUAGCGGUGAAAUGCGUAGAUAUUAGGAGGAACACCAGUGGCGAAGGCGGCUUACUGGACGAUCACUGACGCUGAGGCUCGAAAGCGUGGGGAGCAAACAGGAUUAGAUACCCUGGUA